CAUGAAGCAACUCUGCUCUUGUGUCCCCCUGCUUCCACCAUUGCAGCCCUCGCUACCACAAGGGCUCGAACAAAGCCAAGAGCGUCUUCUUGAGUGGAACCAAACUUAGAGUCCAUGUAAGCGUAACAGCCAAUAGAAAAAACGAAAAGGAGUCAUUAUUAUGAAAAGGCAUCCAAUCCCUCAUGUUUCCUUCGGUCUAACUUUACUCUGCAGCGGACAGACUUGAUGCGAGUAUGGCGGAAAACCAUUGGUACGCUGCCCCCGCCUGCUGCCAAUGAGCACCUCGCACAUAUUAGUCAAAGUCAAAAGACAGAUAGGAGGUCUUUCGUUUGUUGUCUGGCUGGGUCCAGUUGGCUUUAGUUUGAUAUUUCUCUUCCACCCCCUGGUGGAUACCUUUAUCACUACAACAAUUCAGUCACAGUACAUGGGACAAUCCAAGAUGGCAGCCUUCUGAAAGUUCCCAACUCCCUGGAUCAAGAUGGCGAAACAAUACACUGCUGAAGAUGUCCUACGCUUCCUUGAUGGCAAUUUAAGUGACAGAGGAGUUUAUGUCUGCAGAUGAUGAAGUGUUGUAUAAAGAUUGGACCCCUAAUGCAGACUAUAAUGAAGAGAACUCUAGUACUGGUAGUAGCAGUGAGGAAGAUAAAACUGUUGAUGAUAGGCUUGAAGAGGAAGAGGAGGGUGUAAGAAUGUCACAGGCAACAAAACAGUGUGGUAGAAGCAAAGUGAAAAGAGAAGAAAAGAAAGGCACAGCCAGCUGCUGGGUUUGAUAAAAAAGUAAUGACCAGAUGA
Long non-coding RNA from Phycodurus eques (leafy seadragon), 792 nucleotides. RefSeq lists it as uncharacterized. The record is from RefSeq and is a predicted model, not a curated record. The transcript has 3 exons. Lineage: Eukaryota; Metazoa; Chordata; Actinopteri; Syngnathiformes; Syngnathidae.